GGGCCGUUAGCUCAGUUGGUAGAGCAGCUGACUCUUAAUCAGCGUGUCGCGGGUUCGACCCCCGCACGGCUCACCA
RNAcentral lists this transfer RNA (76 nucleotides) under Pseudorhodobacter sp. Its description in RNAcentral is "tRNA-Lys". It matches the Rfam family "tRNA". From Rfam's summary of the family: Transfer RNA (tRNA) molecules are approximately 80 nucleotides in length. Their secondary structure includes four short double-helical elements and three loops (D, anti-codon, and T loops). Further hydrogen bonds mediate the characteristic L-shaped molecular structure. tRNAs have two regions of fundamental functional importance: the anti-codon, which is responsible for specific mRNA codon recognition, and the 3' end, to which the tRNAs corresponding amino acid is attached (by aminoacyl-tRNA synthetases). tRNAs cope with the degeneracy of the genetic code in two manners: having more than one tRNA (with a specific anti-codon) for a particular amino acid; and 'wobble' base-pairing, i.e. permitting non-standard base-pairing at the 3rd anti-codon position. RNAcentral also lists the same sequence under 1 other name. Lineage: Bacteria; Pseudomonadati; Pseudomonadota; Alphaproteobacteria; Rhodobacterales; Paracoccaceae. The record is from RNAcentral.